CUAAGAUUAUUCCGCAAUGGACGAAAGUCUGACGGAGCGACGCCGCGUGGAUGAAGAAGGCCGCAAGGUUGUAAAAUCCUUUUGCUGGGGAAGAAUAAGUCCAGGAGGGAAUGCCUGGAUGAUGACAUGAACCGGCGAAUAAGCCCCGGCCAACUACGUGCCAGCAGCCGCGGUAACACGUAGGGGGCAAGCGUUGUUCGUAAUUACUGGGCGUAAAGGGCAUGUAGGCGGUUUAGUAAGCUUGGCGUGAAGGACCACGGCUUAACUGUGGGGUUGCGUUGAGAACUGCUGAACUUGAGUUACGGAGAGGGAGCUAGAAUUCCUUGUGUAGGGGUGGAAUCUGUAGAGAUCAGGAAGAAUACCGAUGGCGAAGGCAAGCUUCUGGCCGAUAACUGACGCUGAGGUGCGAAAGUGUGGGGAUCAAACA
RNAcentral lists this ribosomal RNA (427 nucleotides) under uncultured prokaryote. Its description in RNAcentral is "bacterial SSU rRNA". It matches the Rfam family "Bacterial small subunit ribosomal RNA", at positions 355 to 774 of the family's 1533-position model. The record is from RNAcentral.